Molecule: small RNA, 124 nt
Filed under: Cricetulus griseus (Chinese hamster)
Lineage: Eukaryota; Metazoa; Chordata; Mammalia; Rodentia; Cricetidae
Description: tRNA-Ser
Source: RNAcentral
GUGUGUUAUUGGGAAUUGAGCCCAGGCUUCCUGCAUGCUAGGCAGGUGCUUUGUCUGAUAAGCUACACCCCAGCCCCUCACUGGGGGAUUCUAGGCAGGUGCUCUACCACUGGGCCACACCCCA